GAGUUGACCCAAUAUAUACCUCUACAGAAAUUGCUUCAAUUCUAAAUUUUAAGAACACUUAAUUGCACUCUUAAGAAAAGAAACCCACCCACUAAGAACAUGCUAUACACUAACUACAUAAACCAACCAUAGUAGCCAAGAUCUUGCUGUUUAUACCGACUUCAAACCAGUUUCAAUCCAUUAGAUAGAAAUGCUGUUGGGGAUUCCACGACCGGUAACCCCUGGACCUGAAGAGGGAAGGAGCAAUUCAUAAGGGGGAAUUCCUGCACCAGUUCUGUUUUUAAGACUGAUAUCCUUGUUUCUCAUAUUUAUUGUCCGCUCUAUCUCCUCUAAUCGAGCCGAGAAUCUAUUGAACAUUUCUAGUAUUUCAUGAUCAUUUAUCCAAUGGCUAUGUAGCUGGUUCACCUGACCCAAGUACUCUUCAUCUGGGGAAUGAGUCGACAGUGUGUCUUGCACGGCCAUCACUUUGGUGGCUUGAAGUUGAGUUGGCAAAGAUGAGAGAAAAGUAUGCUGGGGGUUCAGCAUAAACUUCUCAUAAUCAGGCUCGUCCUCUUGGGGGAUGAGUUUUCUCAUUAGAGUAGGUCGAUUAGGCACAUACCCACCAAAAGGAUACUGCCCAAAAUUUAUGGCUGCGUGUUGACCUGAUGCAAUCCAGAUCAUUAUAGUUAGUAUGCCAGAUAAGUCCUCUUUGGUAUCGAGUUUAGGCCACCAUGGUUCAUUCCUUUUGUCAUAAUGGCCUUUGUUCUUGAUUUCAUCCCACCAGGCUUGGAGCUCAAUGUCAGAUGUGACAGAAUUAGGUUCAGAGUAGAAGUGAUUGACAUAAGAUUCUACCCAAUCUUUGAUGGCUGACCAGAUGAGGAGGCCGUCUGAAGCAUAAGGGUAGUCCUCAAUCACAAGUCUCACACCACAGGGCAUUGAAGGAUCCUCCACUGCCAUGCCCCUGCGAAUAAGAUCUGCAGGCAAAGCCUCCAUGUCAAACCGCCACAUACUCUUGUAUGCUGCAGAGCUAAUCUCCAUGGCAUACUUUCCAGGACUGAAUGAAGCCUCAAUUAUUCCUCCUCCAUUUAUCAAACUUUGCCGUGCAAGUGCAUUAAUUUCUAGUGUAUAUCGCAUAUGAGGAUGAAGCAGCUUGUAAAUUGGAUGCAUUGCACUGAGCUGUCUAUGAGUUGCAAUUAUAUAAGGCUCCAUGCAAGCAUGAGUCCUCAACCAGUGAUUUACUAGUUGAUGGACCCCAGCAUCAUUGGAGCAGACAUGAGCUUUGGCUAGCUUCCAAAUCCAAUGUGUUGUAGCAUCAUGCCCAUGAGUGUAAACAUGUUUAUUGCGAGGUGAAGAACGUGUAGGAGGAAGUGAAAGCUCAAUAGCUACUGGCCUCAGCAUACCAGCUCGGUUAUAGAAGAAAACCGUCCUUGAGGCGUAAGCUUUUCUCCCUGGCAAGGAGUUCAUCUUGUUCAUAAACGGCAAAAGCAUGUCAUGGAAAUCAAGUAUAAACAGCCUGUUCUCCUCAAUUGCCUUUUCUACGCUCAUUCCAUUGAGUUCAUGCUCUAUUAACUCCUUGGUGAGUGCUGAUUCUGGAGGGCCAUAUACAGCAGGGUCUAGUUUACUGAGAAUUGGAAAUUCCUUCAAAAUCUCAAUGUUCACUGGAUUGACCCCGGCCAAAGUCUGGCGAGCAAACUCAUUAUCGCGCAACCAAGCAAAUCUAUCCCGUUUUAUGAUAGCUGGGAUUUCAUAUUUCAAUAACCUGUCGCCAACGCUAAUAACCUGUUUCAUAACAUUACCCAACGCAGGAUGAACUAAUUUAUGUUCUUCGGUUCUUAAGAGAAGACCAUCAUUGUAUAGCUUAUCAAUAUCAGAGAAACAUUUGAAGGGAAUAUCUGAACUUGACAAUGCAGCAGCAAUAGAUGGAAUGAGAUUGUGAAGCAGAGCUUUCAACCUUCCAGCAGAGAAAGUGCUCUGCUUG
Molecule: unclassified non-coding RNA, 1957 nt
Filed under: Hevea brasiliensis (rubber tree)
Lineage: Eukaryota; Viridiplantae; Streptophyta; Magnoliopsida; Malpighiales; Euphorbiaceae
Source: RNAcentral